RNAcentral lists this long non-coding RNA (8139 nucleotides) under Cucumis sativus (cucumber). RNAcentral describes it as "long non-coding RNA (CSAT_LNC002706)". Lineage: Eukaryota; Viridiplantae; Streptophyta; Magnoliopsida; Cucurbitales; Cucurbitaceae. The record is from RNAcentral.
AUAAUGAGGAAGGAAAAAGAGGAGGAGAUCGUGCAGGUGGGGCCCAGGCACAGAAAUAAGAGAAAGAUGAGAGAAGGAAUAUAAAUAGGUUUUUUAGGUCUAGGGGAGGUAGGUUUUAUUUUUAUCCUGAAGUUGGCGGCUGCUUAGCCUAGAGGAAUAUCCAGUCUUUCCCUAGAGGAAGCUGGGUUUGUCUUCAUUAUUCCUUGUUUUUCUUGAAUCUUUAUGUUUUUCUGUACUCAUUUUGGCUAUAUAUAAAUAAAGAUAGCAGAGGGCUACCUCUGUUUUUGGCCAUUGUAAGGGAGAAAUAGUGAAGUAAGCAAGUUGAAUCCUUACAUAUUGGUAUCAGAGCCUCCACACUGGGGGUGAUCACGCGUCUGAUGGCUCAAAGACAGAUAGAAGAACGGGUAGAAGGUACUGAAAAGGAAAUUAUGAGUCUGAAGGAGAUGAUGCUGGAAAUGAAGAAAUCGAUGGAUCGAAUGACAGACGAGCUAAGAGAAAACCAUGGUGCUAAGAAAAAAGAAGAAGCAGGGACUACGGACGACAUCAGGUUGAAACUGAAGGGAAAACUGGAAGAGGCCGGAACCACAGUCGAGUCGGGUGGAAGCAGCGCAGACCGAAGUAAGUACAAAAAAUUAGAAAUGCCACUGUUUACAGGGGUGAACCCUGAAUCCUGGGCGUACCGAGCAGAACAUUUUUUUGAUAUAAAUGACUUACCGGAAGCUGAGAAGGUCAAAGUAGCAGUCGUGAGUUUUGGACAGGAAGAGGUAGACUGGUUUAGAUGGAGUAAUCGUAGAAAGAGGGUGGAAUCUUGGGAGGACUUGAAGGAAAGGAUGUUUGAUUUCUUUAAUGAUACAGGACAGCAGAGCUUGGGGGCAAGAUUAAUCCGUAUUAAGCAAGAAGGCUCAUACAGCGAGUACGUUAAGAAGUUUGUUACAUACUCAGCCCCCCUCCCGGACAUGGCAGAAAGUGUUCUGCUGGAUGCGUUUUUAACGGGUCUGGAACCCUCACUGCAAGCGGAAGUAAUCAGCAGACACCCUCAAACUUUAGAGGAAUGUAUGAAGGAAGCUCAGCUGGUGAAUGAUAGGAAUAUAGCAUUAAAACUGGCGAUGGAAGAGUUGGAUAUAGUUGAGCCCAAAAGGAAUGAGAACAGCAGCAAAUUUCAAGGAAAAAAUGAGAAGACAGAAAGUAAAAAGACAGAGUUUGUGAUGAAGCAGGUAACUAUUCCAUUGAAAAAUGAUUACCAGAAAAAGAUCCCCCAAUUAAACGGCUGUCGGAUACGGAAUUUAGAGCAAGGCUGGAUAAGGGGCUUUGUUUCAGAUGUAAUGAAAAGUACGCCCCAGGCCAUCGAUGUAAAGGGAGAGAAAAAAGAGAGUUGAUGCUCCUUAUACUAAAUGAGGAAGAAGACCACAAAAGGGAAGAGGAUACAGAGGAUGAGGCAAGCGAAGUAAUAGAACUGAAUCAUCUGGAAUUGAAUAUGGAUAACCCUAUUGAAUUGAGGUUGAUCACGGGAGUUACAUCAAAAGGGACGAUGAAAUUAAAAGGACAUGUGAACGGAAGGGAAGUAGUUAUUCUGAUUGACAGCGGGGGCGACCAAUAACUUCAUCAGCCAAGUGUUGGUAGAUGAACUACAGCUGAGCAUCGAUCCGGGAACUCGUUUUGGAGUUACCAUUGGGAAUGGCAACCAAUGUGAAGGAAGUGGGAUUUGCAAGAGGGUGAAGGUGAAGUUAAAAGAGUUAACAAUCGUAGCAGAUUUCCUAGCGGUAGAGUUAGGAACGGUAGACUUGGUGCUUGGGAUGCAAUGGCUAGAUUCGACAGGAACCAUGAAGGUUCACUGGCCAUCCCUAACCAUGACGUUUUGGAUGAAGGGUAGAAGAAUAAUCCUAAAAGGUGACCCUUCUCUAACGAAGUCAGAAUGUUCAUUGAGAACCUUCGAGAAAACGUGGCAAUCCGGGGACCAAGGAUUCCUCUUGGAAUUCGAAAACUAUGAAGUAAACUAUGAAGGAGAAUCGGAAACAGAAGCUGAAUUGAAGGGAAAGGAAGAAGGAUUACCCAUGGUUCAGCGAUUGCUCGAGCAAUAUGCAGAUGUCUUUAGGUUGCCCACGGGUUUACCGCCAAGGAGAGCCAUAGACCAUCGCAUUCUGACCGUGGCCGAUCAGAAACCAAUUAAUGUAAGACCAUAUAAGUAUGGCCAUGUACAAAAGGAAGAGAUUGAAAAAUUGGUGUUAGAAAUGUGAUAGAACACUGAUAUAGUGUUUCUAUUUAUUGAUAUUUGCAACGGAAUUACAAUCUCAAAGCAGUAAAAGAAAAUAUAAAGAACCCUAACCCCUUGCCCUUCCUCUCUUUCAAGGAAUAUUGCAGCCUUAAUUCUUCACCCUUCUCCCUCCCAACAAACUCCUAUUUAUAUUCCAUACCCAACUCCUAUUUAUACUCUAACUAACUUUCUCUCCCAUAACAAACUCCUACUUAUGCUCUAUUAUUUUAUUAUGGAGCAUCUACUAACAAUAUUAAAACUAAGGCUAUUCUCCUAGCACGUGCGGUUAACCUUCUUCUUUUUCCUUCUACUGUAUUGGUGUAUAAUUGGGGGUCUAUCAUUACAUUCCCUUUCCAAAUGCACCUUGUCCUCAAGGUAAAAAUCGGAAAUUUCUUCUGAAAGUCUUCAUACUCCUCAAUAACUGGAAUGGGAAACUUAUCGGGUAUAGUCACGUUGUUUAAGACUCUAUAAUCCACGCAGAAUCUCCAGCUUCCAUCCUUCUUCCGUACUAACAGAACCAGGCUGGAAUAUGGGCUAUUACUUGGGCGAAUAACUCCUGAACUCAGCAUCUCUUCCACCAAUCUCUCCAUCUCCGCCUUUUGUUGGUAUCCAUAGCGAUACGGCCUCACAUUUACCGGGUCAGUUCCUUGUUUCAAAUAGAUAUGAUGCUCAAUACUUCUUCGUGGAGGUAGAGUCUCCGGCCAUGUAAAAACAUCUUCGAAUUUCUUCAGGACAACUGAAACUGCCUCGUCCACCGUUAGUAUUUCCUCAAUUCCAUUAUCUUCUGAGGGCUCGUACAUUGUCUCCAUUGUUCGGCACUCAAUUAAGAAUCCUUGUCAGAAUCCUUCCAUGACUUAAUCAUAUCUUCUUGAGGCCAACCAUGGCUUUGGUUAAGCUGGGGUCUCCUUUGAUUUUCACUUUCUUCCCGUUGUGUAGAAAAGUCAUGGUCAAGUUUUUCCAAUCCACUUCCGUCACGCCAAUGAAUACAACCACUGCAUUCCUAGUACUCCAUCUACUCCUCCCAACUCAAGUGGUAAGAAGUUCGCUUCCACUUUCCAUCCCUCCAGUUCUAGCUCGAUGCCUUCACAAAUUCCUUUCCCCUUCACCGCUGCACCCGAGCCCAAAAUCACUCCAUAGUGUGAGGUAGUCUUCGUCGGUAAACUCAGUUCCUGCACCACCUUGUCCGAGAUGAAGUUAUGGGUUGCUCCACAAUCUAUUAGGAUAAUUACUUCUCUAUCCUUAAUCUUUCCUCUCACCUUCAUCGUUCCGGGAUUCGUCAGCCCCACCACUGAAUUUAUGGAAAGUUCAACGAUAGCUGAUCUUCUGGAUUUAUCUCGACACAGUUCAAUUCUGUCUCAUCCCAUUCCGCUUCCUCCACAAUUUCAUAUUCCUCAUCCUCUUUACCACAUACAUUCUUAGUUCCCUUUGCUCCCUUCCUCUACAUCGAUGUCCAUGAAAAUACUUUCUUAUACAGCGAAAGCAAAGUCCUUCUCUUUUCGGGCUUGAAAUUCUGCAUCCGGUAGUCUCUUCGUCGGGCCUUCUUUCUUAAAUUCACCAGCCGUUGUUCUUAAUGUCACCGUCCUCAUUGGAAAUAUGGUAUUUCCCUGGUUCUCACUGUUAUUCAUCGCUGCACUACUCUAUGAUGAUUGAAGAGUUUGGAGGGGGGUAUUUACCGUGGCAUAACCGUUUAGGUUCGCUCCCUGCGAAGGAUCUCCCGGUUCUCCACGAGUUGAGCUGCGUGCAUCAUCUCGGCCAAACCAAACCGAUUACAAAAAACUACCUCAGCUUUGAUCCACGGAAACAGUCCAUUCAUAAACGUCUCCUCUACCACACGAUCUUGCAAGUCAGGAGUGGUGCCAUCAACCUAUCGAACUCAUUGCGAUUAUUCUUCCACUGUGGUCUGCUGUUUAAUCCUUAAGAAUUGCCACAGAUGGAUCCUUCUCUCGACGAUCGAAACCGCACCAGAAAUCUCUCCUUAAGAUUGUGCCAUCCUGUAAACUUAUCGCGUUCUUCUUGUGCUCGGUACCAGUUUAACGCUGGGCCUUCAAAACUGAUGGUCGCCACCAAAACCUUCUCUGCAUCACUCAGUUUGUGAAUUUGGAAGUACCGGUCGGCGCGGAACAACCACGAAUCCGGAUCCUCGCCAUUGAAUACUGGCAUUUCGACCUUCUUAAAUUUGUCUCUCUCAUUCGCACCCUCUUCGUCCUCAGUCCUCCUCUCCUUUGUUUCAUUCUCACCUCUCCUACUUGUCGAACUUUCUCCUUCAUUACUUUUUCUGCAUCCAGUUUCUUGUGCGCUGUAGUCUGCCAACUUCUCACUGGUUGUCGUCCGUUCUUUCGCAAUGGAAUCCAUGAGUAUCAUCAGCAUUUGAUGCGUCUUUUCAGUUUGAUGACUGAUCGUUGUUAAGCUUUCUUCGAUCGCUGGAAUUUUACUCACUUCUUUCUUCAUCAGCAACAUUUCCUGUUCGUAAGCUUCCAUUCUCUCUUCCGAUCGCGUGUUAACCAUGGUUUUCUCCUUGCCCAGAUUCGACAGGCUCUGAUACCAAUUUGAUAGAACACUGAUAUAGUGUUUCUAUUUAUUGAUAUUUGCAACGGAAUUACAAUCUCAAAGCAGUAAAAGAAAAUAUAAGAACCCUAACCCCUUGCCCUUCCUCUCUUUCAAGGAAUAUUGCAGCCUUAAUUCUUCACCCUUCUCCUUCCCAACAGACUCCUAUUUAUAUUCCAUACCCAACUCCUAUUUAUACUCUAACUAACUUUUCUCUCUCAUAACAAACUCCUACUUAUGCUCUAUUAUUUUAUUAUGGAGCAUCUACUAACAAUAUUAAAAUUAAGGCUAUUCUCCUAGCACGUGCGGUUAACCUUCUUCUUUUUCCUUCUACUGUAUUGGUGUAUAAUUGGGGGUCUAUCAAAAUGUUACAAGCUGGGGUGAUUCGUCCAAGCCGCAACCCAUAUUCGAGCCCAGUCCUCUUAGUGAAGAAAAAAGAUGGAGGGUGGAGAUUUUGUGUAGAUUACAGGAAACUCAAUCAAGUAACGGUGGCUGAUAAAUUUCCAAUUCCCGUGAUCGAAGAACUCUUAGAUGAACUUCAUGGUGCGACAGUUUUCUCAAAGUUAGACCUUAAAUCUGGAUACCACCAGAUUAGGAUGAGGGAGGAAGAUGUGGAGAAAACAGCUUUCCGCACGCAUGAAGGACAUUAUGAGUUCUUGGUGAUGCCUUUCGGCCUUACGAAUGCUCCUGCCACCUUCCAAUCUCUCAUGAACGAGGUGUUCAAACCAUUCCUUCAAAGGUGUGUCCUGGUUUUUUUUUUAUGACAUUCUAGUUUAUAGUGUGGACAUAGAUGAGCACAUGAAACAUUUAGGAAUGGUUUUUGCUAUCUUGAGGGACCAUGAAUUGUUUGCAAAUAGGUCUAAAUGUGUCAUUGCUCAUUCCCAAGUUCAAUAUUUGGGUCAUCUGAUUUCCAGCAGAGGAGUGGAGGCUGAUGAGGACAAGAUUCGCAGUAUGGUAAAUUGGCCACGGCGAAAGAUAUAACUGGGCUGAGGGGAUUCCGUGGACUGACUGGUAUUAUAGAAGAUUUGUGAAAAGCUAUGGAGAAAUAGCUGCACCCUUAACCAAAUUACUUCAGAAAAAUGCAUUCCAUUGGAAUAGGAAGCUACAAUAGCGUUUGACCAGCUGAAGCUAGCAAUGACAACCUUACCGGUAUUAGCAUUGCCGGAUUGGUCUCAGCCCUUCACAAUCGAAACUGAUGCUUCAGGAGUAGGUUUAGGUGCAGUUUUCACAUAAUGGUCAUCCCAUCGCAUUCUUCAGCCAGAAACUGUCCCCAAGAGCCCAGGGUAAGUCGAUCUAUGAAAGGGAAUUGAUGGCGGUUGUCCUUUCGGUGCAAAAAUGGAGACAUUAUCUCCUGGGCAGAAAGUUCACAAUUGUUUCAGAUCAGAAGGCUCUGAAAUUUCUGUUAGAACAGAGGGAAGUUCAGCCUCAAUUCCAAAAGUGGCUCACAAAACUUUUGGGGUAUGACUUUGAGAUCUUAUACCAGCCGGGUCUGUAGAAUAAGGUGGCGGAUGCUCUCUCAAGGAAGGACCAUUCGGUGGAGUUAAAUACAAUGACAACCACAGCACAUAGUUGAUAUAGAGAUAAUAGCGAAGGAAGUUGAAAUGGAUCAAGAACUUCAGAAAAUUAUUGCCGAACUUAAGGGAUAGGUGGAUCAAGGUGGGAAAUACCAGUGGAACAAUGACAGGCUGCUAUAUAAAGGAAGGAUGGUGCUGCCGCGAAAUUCCUCCCUCAUUCUGAGUCUUCUACACACGUUCCAUGAUUCCAUAUUAGGAGGGCACUCGGGAUUCUGAGAACCUAUAAAAGAAUGAGUGGGGAACUAUUUUGGAAAGGAAUGAAGGCUGAUAUCAAGAGAUAUGUAGAAGAAUGUGACACUUGUCAACGUAAUAAGUUCGAAGCUACAAAGCCUGCGGGAGUUCUGCAACCCAUUCUAUCCCCGACAAGAUAUUGGAGGAUUGGACCAUGGAUUUUAUUGAAGGGCUGCCAAUAGCAGGAGGUUACAACGUGAUUAUGGUAGUCGUCGACCGCCUAAGUAAGUACUCCUACUUCUUGUCUCUGAAACACCCGUACACAGCCAAGCAAGUGGCUUCAAUUUUUUUGGAAAAAGUGGUCAGCAAACAUGGAAUACCCAAGUCCAUUAUUACCGACCGUGAUAAGAUCUUCCUUAGCAAUUUCUGGAAGGAGUUGUUCACUACCAUGGGCACCAUUUUGAAGAGAAGCACGACAUUCCAUCCCCAAACGAUGGACAAACCGAGAGGGUAAACAGAUGCCUAGAGACCUAUUUGAGAUGCUUUUGCAAUGAACAACCGAAGAAAUGGGAUAAACUGAUCCCUUGGGCGGAAUUAUGGUAUAACACAACCUUCCACGCAUCCACCAAAACUACUCCUUACCAAUCUGUUUUUGAAGAACUCCCCCGCCACUACUGUCAUAUGGAUGGAAGCAAUCUCCUAACAAUGACGUAGAAGUCAUGUUGAAGGAGAGAGAUUUAGCACUCAAUGCACUGAAGGAAAACCUAUGCAUAGCUCAAAAUAGAAUGAAGAAAAUGGCAGACGAAACCGCAGGGAGCUCAAAUUCAAAAUUGGGGAUGAAGUGUAUUUGAAACUACGACCCUAUCGACAAAGAUCACUAGCUCGGAAGAAAUGUGAAAAGCUAUCCCCAAAAUUUUAUGGGUCGUAUGAGGUUAUUGAAGAGAUAGGAGAGGUCGCUUAUCGAUUGCAACUACCGCCCGAGGCCGCCAUUCACAAUGUCUUUCACGUGUCUCAACUGAAACUGAAGUUGGGAAAACAACAUGUAGUCCAGCAACAACAGCCAUACUAACUGAGGAUUUUGAACUACAAUUGUGGCCGAAAAACGUGUGGGAAUAAGGUGGAACAAGGAGCUAGGAGGUAAUGAGUGGCUGAUCAAAUGGAAGAACUUACCAGACAGUGAAGCAACGUGGGAAUCAGUUUACCUAUUGAAUCAGCAGUUCCCUCAGUUUCACCUUGAGACAAGGUGAACUUGGAGCCCCGGGGUAUUGUAAGACCUCCAAUUAUUCAUACAUAUCAAAGGAGGGGCAGAAAAGUAAUUGGACAAAUUAAUAAUGAGGAAGGAAAAAGAGGAGGAGAUCGUGCAGGUGGGGCCCAGGCACAGAAAUAAGAGAAAGAUGAGAGAAGGAAUAUAAAUAGGUUUUUUAGGUCUAGGGGAAGUAGGUUUUAUUUUUAUCCUGAAGUUGGCGGCUGCUUUAGCCUAGAGGAAUAUCCAGUCUUUCCCUAGAGGAAGCUGGGUUUGUCUUCAUUAUUCCUUGUUUUUCUUGAAUCUUUAUGUUUUUCUGUACUCAUUUUGGCUAUAUAUAAAUAAAGAUAGCAGAG